CAACCCUCAGGCCCUGCCUGGCGAUGGGGAUCCCGCGGCCCAGCGCCGUGGGGCCCUGAAAAGCAGCGGCGGGCUCUGCUGAAACCCGAGCGUAGUAAUCUCUCUCGCUUAGGGGACCGGCAGGCGCCUUGCCUCACUCUCUAUUUUCUAAU
This 152-nucleotide unclassified non-coding RNA is filed under the name uncultured fungus. Its description in RNAcentral is "sequence contains ITS2". Lineage: Eukaryota; Fungi. The record is from RNAcentral.